Molecule: long non-coding RNA, 665 nt
Filed under: Bos taurus (domestic cattle)
Lineage: Eukaryota; Metazoa; Chordata; Mammalia; Artiodactyla; Bovidae
Description: long non-coding RNA NONBTAT009051
Source: RNAcentral
CGGUUGUCUCCUAUUUAUUAACUCGCAUUAACAGUUUUCAAGAACUACAUAAAAACCUUUCUGCUUUCAUUUAAUACACAGGGAAAAAAAAUACAUCAUGAAGGGAGAAUAUCACAUUUUCUGUCGUAAGAACACGGUUCCGGUGCGCACCGAUCGAGCCCCAAGACGUGCACUCGGCCAGAUUCCUAAUAUCAGGUUUACAGCACUCUUCAAAAGACGUUUUCUGUCCGAGACACAUUAAACAAGCUUUAUUUAAUAACGCUCGAUUUGACUUAUCCAAUUUAAACAUUUGCUCUGAUCAGCAACCAUUUGAUCCUGCCUUCGUUUCAGGCAGCAGAAUAAUUUCUCUGGGUUAUUUUUCUUUGGUGCAAGGUUGAUCCCGGAGGCAGAAUAACUUCUCUCAAAUUCUGUGUGUUUCUCUAAUUCGUGCUGCGAGUGGAAAGGGAUAGAGCCAUAAAAAGCCUGUGCUGAAGGCUGCUUUUAUAAUGUUUACGUUGCUCGUCCUCACGUCUGUCUGGCUAAAGACAGGCGAUAUCAUUUAAAAGACCCCUCCUAGCCCGAUAAUUAGGAGAGACCUUUUUCUUAACUUAGAGCAUCAGAACAUGAAGAAAUUCUCAACUUGGCAGUCUUUGCGGGAAUAUAUUUUGCCAUCUGCCAUCUACUUG